CGUCCCUGUUGUGAUCUUGCUCAGCCCUACACCCCCUUCAUUCUUGUCUCUAAAUCAACACAAUUUUUCCCCUGUUCUGACUCCAUUUAUGAAACUGUAACGCUUCCACCUUUACUCUGCUAUAUCUUCUUCUUUUCUUACAUGCUCUGGUUUUAAUUGUGAUAAUAUAUCUUUGUUUUAGUACUAUCGCCCUAUUUGUUGCGUUUCUGCUGGAAAUUAUCUUGAGUACUGGUAUUAGUGCUAUCAUGGAACGGUUGGAGCUGUUGAUGUUAUGAUUACAUCUGCGAUGUAGCCGUGGAAGUUGCUGCCACCGUCUCG
This 318-nucleotide long non-coding RNA is filed under the name Arachis ipaensis. RNAcentral's name for it is "long non-coding RNA (AIPA_LNC002539)". Lineage: Eukaryota; Viridiplantae; Streptophyta; Magnoliopsida; Fabales; Fabaceae. The record is from RNAcentral.